Cyprinus carpio (common carp) is the source of this 1013-nucleotide long non-coding RNA. The record is from Ensembl. NCBI's taxonomy places the organism in Eukaryota, Metazoa, Chordata, Actinopteri, Cypriniformes, Cyprinidae.
CGCCGUGCCGGCUAAAAAAGAAGGAUCCGGGUACUGAAAUGGCCAGCCUGCAGUCCACAUCUUUCACCCAUAGAAAACAUUUGGCGCAUCAUAAAGAGGAAGAUGUGACAAAGAAGACCUAAGACAGUUGAGCAACUAGAAGCCUGUAUUAGACAAGAAUGGGACAACAUUCCUAUUCCUAAACUUGAGCAACUUGUCUCCUCAGUCCCCAGACGUUUGCAGGGGAUGCCACACAGUGGUAAACAUGGCCUUCUCCCAACUUUUUUGAGAUGUGUUGAUGCCAUGAAAUUUAAAAUCAACUUAUUUUUCCCUUAAAAUGAUACAUUUUCUCAGUUUAAACAUUUGUUGUAUUCUGAAUAAAAAAUAGAAAUUUGAAACUUCCACAUCAUUGCAUUCUGUUUUUAUACACAAUUUGUAGUGUCCCAACUUUUUUGGAAUCGGGUUUGUACAUGAAGCAUUUCGCAUAUUUCAAUUUAAAAUGGCGAAAUUUCAUAAAAGGUUGAGUAGUUUGCAUCACUAGAUAGUCUAUUGUCGGCCGCUAAACAUUUCUAUCGUAAAACAGUUUUAUAGAUAAUGCAGUAGGCUACUACUUAAAUUUUUCUUUUGAUUUGACUGGCCAUCUUAAUCAUUUUGACAUUGACAAGUGCUGUUGGACCACUCAGGCAGACCAGCCUAGGGACGCUCAGGCCCUCGCCCGGCCCGUGUCCAACAGCUUAUCAGAAUUACUGGCCCGAGCCCGUCUUUCCCCCCUUCUACCAAAACCGCUAAUACUACUGUUUCAGCUAUUAAAAUAAUUCCGUUUUGUAUGUAAUGGCAAAGUGAUUAUAUUUCGUUUAGUUUUUUUAUUAAUUUAAUUUAGAAAAACGUUUGAACCUUUUUUUUUUUCGGUAAAUAUAAGUUUUUGUUUUUUUUACAACCAAGCGGCCAGCGGCAGACAGUGAACCAUGUUUGAUAAAUUUAGCCUUCUCAAAUCAUCACGACUUGCCUAAAAUAAAACCUAUAGAUAUAAAACA